GAGAAUUUGGUUCUCCACUCCAAACAAAACGGGCCACAAACUUCUUUACCAAAAGACUGGGGGUCUACCAGCUUCAGGAGGGUCAGAGAAGAGCUACUUGAGAGAAUCUACAUGCUCUCACCCUCUCCUUGUGAGAGAUAACCUCUGCUGUCGUCGUGAGAGAGUCUUUUUUUUUUUCUUUUGAGUAAUGAGGGAGGAUGUUAACCACCCAACUUUUAUUUGAAUCGUGAGAGAGUCUUUCGAAGCAUUUCUGCUGCGUAGAAGGCAUGAUUGUGUUCCCUUGCAGCAGACUCUUCAUAGAUUUGCGGUCCCUUCGGUUGAGGUCGCCUUGUCUCCGGCCACGGACCACAAAUGGCAUGCACAAGAGACUGAUUCUCUUGUCACGGGAACAGAGAAAUCCUUUCACUUUUGAAGCAUUAAUUGUUGGGAGCGUUAGAGAAGCUUCGUGCUCGGUAUGCUAUUCUGUGUAGCUAUUUCAGUGAAGCAUAUUCAUGUCCAAGUCUCCAACUAAAGACAUGUUGGAUGGCACUAUAAGAGAUAGCUAUAUGUUAGCUACUCGGUAUUUAUGUGGCUUUUGAGGGAUCUUCAUUUAUUUUUCAGAUGUUAGCUUGCCAAAUUGUGAUGCCAAGGAACUAAAAUGAUAAUUCUCCUUCCAAUCAACUUGAAUAGACUUCGAAUCCGCUAGAUUUUAUUUCAUUGUGCUCAAUUCUAGAGGAUUUAAAGAGUGCCAACCAGUGUAAUUGGUAAAGUUCUAAGGCGUUAGUAUCGAAGCUCUAGAUUUGCAUCCCAUCCUCAUCCUGAUUUCUCUAAUCCUGAUUUUUUGAAAAUAAUAUAGGAUUUACAAUAAUUGUUAAUUUAUCAGCUAUAUCAAGGGCAAAUCAUCAGUUAAGGUUCAGUUUUAGUUAUGACUAAUUCCUUUAUACAUUAUGUUCAGAAGUAGCAGAUGUACUCUCCCCCGUUUGUGUGCCUGUAAUUUGUGGUAAACAAGUUUCUAGGGUUCCACUUGAGCUUAGCCAAAAGGCCAAGAAAGGUAUAUAGCUUCUGGGGCUCCAAUCAAAUAAAGAUGCCCGUCUAAUAGAAGAUGCAUCGUUUUAUUUUGUCUCCUUCUCUAUUAACUUUGAUCUAGUCUUGCUUGCAUGGUUACAUUUCAGGCUCAGCACAUGGGUGUGGCGGGACGGAAGAAAGCAUCAUUGGCUUACAUUCUAUGGCAGCUUCGACGAGCCAGAAAUUUGUCGGUAUUUCAGCUCAGAUAUCUUCAACACAAAGUCAUUUCCACCAUUCUGUGUUAGUGGAGGAAUGUUGGUCUACCAAUAGCUAGCUAAACAAUCAAUGUACCAAAAAAAAAAAAAGCUCAACACUCACAUCAGGGGUACUUUUUUUUCUCUUUUUUCCUCGAGGCAUCUUGUAUAACGGGUGUCCCACUAUUCCCACGGUUUGGUGUUUUUGAGGUGAGUUUUGCUGGCGCUUUGAAGCGGUAUGGCAGCACAGAUACUUUUUCGUAAUGAAAAAUUAUACUUUACACUAUAUGGAUCAUAUACACC
This 1541-nucleotide long non-coding RNA is filed under the name Elaeis guineensis (African oil palm). Its description in RNAcentral is "long non-coding RNA (EGUI_LNC023733)". The record is from RNAcentral. Lineage: Eukaryota; Viridiplantae; Streptophyta; Magnoliopsida; Arecales; Arecaceae.